GGCGAUGGUCACUCCGUCUCUUCUUUUGCUUUUGUGGGAAUGACCGAACUAUGGCACUGUAUCAGACUUAUCGUGUGUGUUGUAAUUUCAAACUAUGAAGCUUCCGCUACUUGAAGAACUUGGUUUGUAAUAGCUUUAAGCACUCUGAUGUAUUUUAUGAAUGUUGUAAUCUGGAUGUACUUGUGGAUGGCGACCGCUAAACUUAUUACGAUCUUGGCUGUUAUGUGAUGUGUGGUUUGAAAUCCAUCGAGAUUUCACGGACUACCGGGAUUAUAUGGGCUUAAGCGUGAUAGUUCGACUAUGCAAAUGGUCACUAUUAGGCUUAAUCUCUUAUAAUUUGGUCGGUUCUGUUAUAGUAAACAGGGGUAAGAUAUGAUAUUUGGAGAUAGUGGACACACAUCUGGGUCAUCCUCGAGGAUAAAAGAUAAAAUAAAGAAUAAAAGAAUAUAACUACUGAGCAGGCAUGGUUCGUAUAUAACUGUGCUAAGAACUGUUCGUAAGUCAUCUAACUACUAUGUCUAG
RNAcentral lists this long non-coding RNA (522 nucleotides) under Sorghum bicolor (sorghum). Its description in RNAcentral is "long non-coding RNA (SBIC_LNC006841)". Lineage: Eukaryota; Viridiplantae; Streptophyta; Magnoliopsida; Poales; Poaceae. The record is from RNAcentral.